This 524-nucleotide ribosomal RNA is filed under the name uncultured bacterium. RNAcentral describes it as "bacterial SSU rRNA". It matches the Rfam family "Bacterial small subunit ribosomal RNA", at positions 777 to 1293 of the family's 1533-position model. The record is from RNAcentral.
AAUAGAUACCCAGGUAGUCCUGGCCCUAAACGAUGUCCACUAGAUCGUGGCGGCUCUGACGUCGUCACGGUCGAAGCAAAAGUGCUAAGUGGACCGCCUGGGAAGUACGGUCGCAAGGCUAAAACUCAAAGGAAUUGACGGGGGCUCACACAAGCGGUGGAGCAUGUGGUUCAAUUCGAAGCAACGCGCAGAACCUUACCUGGGCUUGACAUGCUAGGAUUAUCUCUAUGAAAGUAGAGUAGGCCCUUCGGGGUACAACUAGUACAGGUGCUGCAUGGCUGUCGUCAGCUCGUGUCGUGAGAUGUCGGGUUAAGUCCCUUAACGAGCGAAACCUUUGCCCUUAGUUACCAGCGGGUUAUGCCGGGGACUCUAAGGGGACUGCCGGUGUCAAACCGGAGGAAGGUGGAGAGUGACGUCAAGUCCUCAUGGCCUUUAUGCCCAGGGCCACACACGUGCUACAAUGCGGCGCACAGAGCGAACCGAGAGCGCAAGCUGGAGGAAAUCGCACAAAUCGCCGCCCAGUU